Molecule: ribosomal RNA, 240 nt
Filed under: uncultured bacterium
Lineage: Bacteria
Description: partial 16S ribosomal RNA
Rfam family: Bacterial small subunit ribosomal RNA
Source: RNAcentral
UACAGAGGGGGCCAGCGUUAUUCGGAAUUAUUGGGCGUAAAGGGCGCGUAGGCGGCUUUGCGUGUCUUUCGUGAAAUCCCUCGGCUCAACUGAGGACGUGCGGAAGAAACUGCAGGGCUGGAGUCCGGAGAGGAGGGUGGAAUUCCCGAGUGUGAGCGGUGAAAUGCGUAGAUAUUGGGAGGAACACCGGUGGCGAAGGCGGCCCUCUGGACCGGUACUGACGCUGAUGCGCGAAAGCGU